Nematostella vectensis (starlet sea anemone) is the source of this 1393-nucleotide RNA transcript. RefSeq lists it as uncharacterized. The transcript has 9 exons. The record is from RefSeq and is a predicted model, not a curated record. NCBI's taxonomy places the organism in Eukaryota, Metazoa, Cnidaria, Anthozoa, Actiniaria, Edwardsiidae.
GUCUUUUGGUUAGUCCUGGUAACGAAUCUUUUAGGUGCGCGGUUACCAAGGGUAAAUAGCGCGAGAUUUGAAUCUUGAACAACGAUGACAAAAUAUUGUUGAAACUUUUUUAUCCGAACCAAAUACAAAUAUUCCAAAUGAAGGCUAAACGAAAGACACCUAGCUGUGGCGGGGAAAGGAAAAAGAGGAAGUCUGAAAUCAAGAGAGAGUAUUUGCAUGAAUGUAGCAACAAAGAAAAUGUCCCUCCUGAUGACAAAGGAGAACCUGAAAAGAAAAGAAGACCACGAAAACGUGAAGGAAAAGGACUGUCAUUAGAUUCUGGUCGAGCAGCGAUUUUGGCUAAUAAUAGAGAACUUGCAGUUGCAUUAGAGGAAGCACAGAUCAAAAUCAACAAGUUGAACCUUACAAAUGUUGAAAUUAAGAAACAGUUACAAGGGGAGAGACAGAUGUAUAUUGACAAGCUACAAAGAGAAGUGGAUAAACAACUAAAGGAAAAGUUUGAUAAAAUCAAUCAAGUGCUCCAAGAGGUCAUCUCCAAAUUCCUUGAGUGUUCCACUCUAAUGCAGACCAUCAACAGUCUAGUUGCCUUUCCAACAGCUCCCACAACAACCCCCCUUACCUACUCCCUCCAUGCCUUGUCAUUCAACACCACCCCUCCCCCAGAUGAGCCUGUGGGUUGGGACCCCAUGGAAGUUGGACCAACUAUAUCGACUCCUGGGCCUGACGACUUUGUUAUUCAAGAGAACAAUGAUUUUACUACUGCCUUUGUUGAGCCCAUGCAAAUGGACGAGCUCAGUUUCAUGGGUGGGGAGACAGACCUUUUACACAACAGAAAGCCAGGCAAAGACACCAACAGGAUCACUCAAAGUCCACGGGAGAGAAUGAGUCCAACAGCAUACAGGAUGACAAGAACUCCAAAACAAGCUCGGAGCUCUGUAAACUUGAACAGCCAAACUACCCCGUUAAUCCCUGCUACUGAGAGGGCUUUACGCAGAACCCCUAGUGUUACUUACACCAUGCCCAGCCUGCGCAGCAAGCUAAGGAGAGGGGAUCCGUUCACCGAUUCAUCUCUCUACAAUGCCUUUCCCGAAAGUGAGUACCAUCACCAGAGAACCCUUCAAACAGAAUAACCUAUACACAACCUGGUCAAAGUGAGAGAGAAAAUGCCCUCGAGUGUCUACGGGCUGUUUGAAAAAGAGACCAAGGUCAGUGCUGUCCAACAUCUCCAAUACUAUCAGUGAAGAAACCUAGAAAACCAAGAGAUUGGACGAGAUGGGCUGCUAGCUGGGCUGUCCGCCCGAUCAACGAAGGGAACCAAAUGUAGAGAAGACGCAAUGAAAAUAUCUGUCUGCUCAUCGUCUGUAUCACACAAUAAUAAAUGUAUUUCGCGCUG